AUGAAGGACCUCAUGAGGAAGUACGGCAAGGUGGCCCUCGGUGUCCACGUCUCCGUCUCCGUCGCCUCCGUCUCCGGCCUCUACGUCGCCAUCAACAACAACGUCGACGUCGACGCCAUCUUCCGCAAGAUCGGCAUCAGCGCCCCCGGCACCGCCGCAGGCGACGCGGCCCUGCCCGCCCCCUCUCCCGGCGCCGGCGACGGGGCCCUCCCCCUCCCCGCCCCCGCCGUCGUCGUCGGCCAGGAGGCGCCGCGGAACCGGACCGGGGAGCUCGCGGCGUCCAGCGGCGGCGCGCUCGCGCUCGCCAUCCUCUGCAACAAGGCCCUGUUCCCCGUCAGGGUCCCCAUCACCAUCGCGCUCACGCCGCCCAUCGCCAGGCUCCUCGCCCGCUGGAAGCUCGUCAAGAGCCUCAAGCAGACCUGA
This 423-nucleotide ribosomal RNA is filed under the name Triticum aestivum (bread wheat). RNAcentral's name for it is "partial small subunit ribosomal RNA". The record is from RNAcentral. Lineage: Eukaryota; Viridiplantae; Streptophyta; Magnoliopsida; Poales; Poaceae.